This 489-nucleotide long non-coding RNA is filed under the name Felis catus (domestic cat). RNAcentral's name for it is "lncRNA (ENSFCAG00000053608.1)". Lineage: Eukaryota; Metazoa; Chordata; Mammalia; Carnivora; Felidae. The record is from RNAcentral.
AUGUUCACACCCACAGCCGAUGGUCGUGAUGAUGACAUGAACAUGCCCACACUCACAGAGGGCUUUGUGCCAUUCAAAGAUUCCAGGUCAGAAUUAGAAUUACAAGUGGCCACCUGUGUCAUCAGCAUUGUGACAAGCCAUCCUGUGCCUUCUCAGUUCUUCUCCCAGCCCACUGAUGGAGGGUCACGUUCCCCUCCCACAGACAGCAGGAUCCUGCCAGGAGCCCGGGCUCAGCAGAGACAUCCUCACCAUCCCCCAUGUUAUCACCAUGACAGCUCAGAGAGGAAUUAUGGACCCAAGACCUCUCUCCCCUGCUGGCUCUCCAAUUCAGUCCGAAGAUGGGGACAGAGACCACGGGAAGGUCACAGCACUUCUAAACCCUCUGGACUGGAAGUGGCACUUGCUGGACCCACUCAUGUUCCACUGUGGCCCCAGCAGCCCCCUGAGAUGCAACGCAAUGUCCCCGGUCAGCAGGGGCAGCCACUAUAG